This 565-nucleotide ribosomal RNA is filed under the name uncultured fungus. Its description in RNAcentral is "eukaryotic LSU rRNA". It matches the Rfam family "Eukaryotic large subunit ribosomal RNA", at positions 55 to 636 of the family's 3401-position model. Lineage: Eukaryota; Fungi. The record is from RNAcentral.
GGAAAAGAAACCAACAGGGAUUGCCUCAGUAACGGCGAGUGAAGCGGCAACAGCUCAAAUUUGAAAUCUGGCCUUACGGUCCGAGUUGUAAUUUGUAGAGGAUGUUUUGGGCACCGCCCCGGGUUAAAUUUCUUGGAACAGAAUGUCAAAGAGGGUGAGAGUCCCGUCUUGGCCCGUGGUAGGACCUGUGUAAAACUCCUUCGACGAGUCGACUUGUUUGGGAAUGCAGGUCAAAAUGGGUGGUAAAUUUCAUCUAAAGCUAAAUAUUGGCCAGAGACCGAUAGCGCACAAGUAGAGUGAUCGAAAGAUGAAAAGCACUUUGAAAAGAGAGUUAAACAGUAUGUGAAAUUGUUGAAAGGGAAGCGCUGGCAACCAGACUCGAGCGCGGUGUUCCCCCUGGCUUCUGCCUGGGUUAUUUCACCGUGACCGGGCCAUCAUCAGUUUCGGGGGCCGGUUAAAGAUUCGGGGAAUGUAUCCUCUCCUUCGGGGGAGGACUUAUAGCCCUGGGUGUCAUGCGGCCUCCCGGGACUGAGGAACGCGCUUCGGCGAGGAUGAUGGCGUAAUG